RNAcentral lists this ribosomal RNA (298 nucleotides) under uncultured bacterium. RNAcentral describes it as "partial 16S ribosomal RNA". It matches the Rfam family "Bacterial small subunit ribosomal RNA", at positions 468 to 766 of the family's 1533-position model. The record is from RNAcentral.
AAUGACGGUACCCUAAGAGGAAGCCCCGGCUAACUACGUGCCACAGCCGCGGUAAGACGUAGGGGGCGAGCGUUGUCCGGAAUUACUGGGCGUAAAGAGCACGUAGGCGGAGACUUAAGUCAGGUGUGAAAGACCGGGGCUCAACCCCGGGGUGGCACUUGAUACUGGGUCCCUUGAGGGCAGGAGAGGGCAGUAGAAUUCCUGGUGUAGCGGUGAAAUGCGUAGAAAUCAGGAGGAAUACCAGUGGCGAAGGCGACUGCCUGGACUGACCCUGACGCUGAGGUGCGAAAGCGUGGGU